GUGGUCGUAGCUCAGCUGGUAGAGCACCGGGUUGUGGUCCCGGGGGCCGCGGGUUCAAGUCCCGUCGAUCACCCCA
RNAcentral lists this transfer RNA (76 nucleotides) under Actinoplanes digitatis. Its description in RNAcentral is "Amorphoplanes digitatis tRNA-His". It matches the Rfam family "tRNA". Rfam says of the family: Transfer RNA (tRNA) molecules are approximately 80 nucleotides in length. The record is from RNAcentral. Lineage: Bacteria; Bacillati; Actinomycetota; Actinomycetes; Micromonosporales; Micromonosporaceae. RNAcentral also lists the same sequence under 6 other names.